RNAcentral lists this long non-coding RNA (1001 nucleotides) under Volvox carteri. Its description in RNAcentral is "long non-coding RNA (VCAR_LNC003522)". The record is from RNAcentral. Lineage: Eukaryota; Viridiplantae; Chlorophyta; Chlorophyceae; Chlamydomonadales; Volvocaceae.
AGCGUUCGCCGUCGGGCUGCUGAGGAUGGACGGACGGAGAACCUGUUCCAACUGCAAGAACUUUCUCGCAAGGUGUACACUGUAUGUUAGGGUUAUGGGAUAUCCCGCAAUUUGCGGUCGUAUUCUUGGCUACUCCUUAUCCGCGGUGUUCGCUCUGUGUCUGCUGGAAAUCGGUGGACGCUGGACAGGUGGUGAAAAGGCGCAGGUCAUCCAGUAGCCCACAUCUCUGAGGGUUCCACAACCACUCAAUCCCCGCGCACCAUGGCAGCAUCGACGCCGCCGUCGUGGCCAUUCGAAACCACCGAUGUCGCUAACGCUGCCUGCUGGAACUGCCUUAGGGUACACUUCUGUUUCAUUUAUUUUCCUACGUAUGCUAAAAUCUUGAACCGUAUGCUGAAAUCUUGAACUUCAUUAGGUGAAAAUGAUAUUUACCACAUCUCCAUCUAGCUUUAGCCACCUCAAUGCUGUGUCCUGGCAUGUGCUAUCUCCCUGUUAUGAUGCUGCUACCAGCAUCACACUAGCCACCUAGCUGCCUGUUCCGAGCCUUUACGCAUCUCGGUUCGCCAACGUAUGACCUAUCUGUUGUAGCCCCUCCAAACGCAGAGCGAGCGAGGUCAUUCAAUUUGAUGGAACUGUAUCAAGUAAGAAAGUUAUUUGCUUUCUAUGUUUUGUGAUUGUGAAGUCGAAAGGAACGGGAUGUAUGGGUCGGCUGAGCGCUGACGCGACAUACACUCCUAACUCAAAGUCCGCGAGCGAGUGCCUGGAUGCAUUCUCGGGGCAACUUUUCAUUUCUUUCCUGCCUGGCCGUGUAGAAUCUGGAACUAGCAUGUGGACGGAGAACCGCGUCCAGCUAGACGCUUAAGCAGGAUGGCGAAGGUAAUGCGCACGAAAGUGUUAAUAGAGUGUUAAUAGAGGCAGGGCUUAUCACAAUAAAUAUUUUACGGAACAGUUGAAACACUUCGCAACAGAGGCCUCCGCGAUUAGCAAAAUUGUACUCCUUU